RNAcentral lists this long non-coding RNA (171 nucleotides) under Mus musculus (house mouse). Its description in RNAcentral is "lysozyme-like 4, opposite strand". The record is from RNAcentral. Lineage: Eukaryota; Metazoa; Chordata; Mammalia; Rodentia; Muridae.
GAGGCAGUAUGCAGAUGUCCAGCUGCUUACAUGAGGAGCUCUGGGAAGAGCUGAGAGUAGCCCAGGUCCACCUCUGGACCUGGAGGGCCCAGGCCUGGCCAGGUGAACUCUUCCCAGUGCCUCUGGCUGUGCUUUCCCUGACAUCUACAAUAAAACCUCCCCCUUAACCAU